This 237-nucleotide ribosomal RNA is filed under the name uncultured Staphylococcus sp. RNAcentral describes it as "partial 16S ribosomal RNA". It matches the Rfam family "Bacterial small subunit ribosomal RNA", at positions 524 to 760 of the family's 1533-position model. Lineage: Bacteria; Bacillati; Bacillota; Bacilli; Caryophanales; Staphylococcaceae. The record is from RNAcentral.
UACGUAGGUGGCAAGCGUUAUCCGGAAUUAUUGGGCGUAAAGCGCGCGUAGGCGGUUCUUUAAGUCUGAUGUGAAAGCCCGCGGCUCAACCGUGGAGGGUCAUUGGAAACUGGAAAACUUGAGUGCAGAAGAGGAAAGUGGAAUUCCAUGUGUAGCGGUGAAAUGCGCAGAGAUAUGGAGGAACACCAGUGGCGAAGGCGACUUUCUGGUCUGUAACUGACGCUGAUGUGCGAAAGC